AUUAAUGUUAGCCCUAUUGAGUAUGGGCACGUGCUGUUGAUCCCACGUAUUCUGGAGUGCUUGCCACAGAGGAUUGAUCGUGAGAGCUUCCUGCUUGCUCUUUACAUGGCAGCUGAAGCUGCAAAUCCAUACUUCCGUUUGGGUUACAACAGCUUGGGUGCAUUUGCUACCAUCAACCACCUUCAUUUCCAGGCUUAUUAUUUGGCUGUGCAAUUUCCCAUUGAGAAGGC
This 230-nucleotide unclassified non-coding RNA is filed under the name Hevea brasiliensis (rubber tree). The record is from RNAcentral. Lineage: Eukaryota; Viridiplantae; Streptophyta; Magnoliopsida; Malpighiales; Euphorbiaceae.